RNAcentral lists this long non-coding RNA (1378 nucleotides) under Homo sapiens (human). RNAcentral's name for it is "HSALNT0118657". The record is from RNAcentral. Lineage: Eukaryota; Metazoa; Chordata; Mammalia; Primates; Hominidae.
UGAUGAUUCACUAAAAAGACUCACAGAACUUAGUGAAAGCUAAUGUCACACCUACUGUAGAGGAGUGAAAGUACAAAUUGUUUCUCACAAGGAAUGAGUGCCACUCUUCAGUUUUUAAGCAGAGAAGGAACAUGCUGGAUCUGUAUUUUGGACAGAUGUAAUGGUGAAGUUGAGAUGAUGAUCAGAGUCUUACUUCAGACAAAUCAUGAGUCUCAGAGGAAGUGAUGACAGAGAUGUCUGUGGAAACUAUUGAAGAGGAAGGCUUUGCUAAAUCUUCAUGGAGAGAGUCCUUUCUAUGGAGGAGACAUUAUGCUAGAAUUUUCACACAGAUUAUUUUAUUUAACUCCAAGAACUACUCCAUGAAAUAGGCAUGAUCAUCACCUUCAUUGUUUACAGGUAAGAAAACUAAAGUUCACAGUGGUUAAAUUGCUUGUCCAUAGUUGCAUGUGUAGUAAGAGGGGCUAGAGAGUAGGAAUUUCAUAUCAUUUUGAGCUCUUGAGUUUGUAAGCAUCGUUUUUCUUUAGAGUUAUCUCCUGGUUUUCCAUGAUAGAAAGUCUUUCUUGGACUUUUUUUCUGGCGCAAGCAUUCCUUCUCAUACUUAAAUUCUUCACAAAUAUCCUUGACUUUUCUAUUAAUUCUAAAUUGCAGUCUAUAGUCCCACAAAGUGUAAAAGUAUGAAAUGUUAAAAUUCUUUGUUUAAAAGCAUUCAUUAUUACUUACAUUUCUAAAUGAAUGUAAGAAAUGCAAUAACUUAGCAAACAGAAAGUUCAAUCAGAUUUGCUCAUGCAGGGGUCUUAUGAUAUUUCAAUGAAGAUUGAUGUCCAUUCUAUGGCUAAAGUGGCAGGACACAAAACAUAAUAGAAUUGUGCAAAUACAGAGAAAAAGUAAUGCAUUCCAAGCUAUAAGAAAGUGCCUUCCUUGAUUAGGUAUGUUAUCAUACUGUGGUUCUGUUCCUGUUUAUUCUUGCAUUUGUUCAGAGUUAUGCUUUUGAAAGAAAUCAAAAUAUUUCACCCCAAAAUAUACUUAUUUAACAUAUUUUGACAUCGCUAUUAAGAGGGCUUGUAAACAGAAUGAGCCCUGCAAAGCUGUCUUUUGUGGGGGAGAUUUGCAUCUGUAGAAAAUGUGCAUCGAUGUGGCCGGGUUUCUCUGAGGCCUUGCCUUGUGGAACCCUAACAAACAUUAAUUUCUGUAAGGGUUUAAUGUAAGCCACAUACUCUUCUGAGAUUAGCAUAUUUUAGUACCACAUUAUCUCUUAUACUAGUCAUUGCAAUGACAAGAAAAUAAAUAGAAAAUUCAGGCCAAAAGCUAUCUAUCAAAAGUAAUUUUUAAACUUCCACAGCAAAAUUCCUACCUUUCAGGUAUGUUUACAAUGAUGAAA